UAAUGGAAAGCGGCGGACGGGUGAGUAACGCGUGAGUAACCUGCCCUUAGGAGGGGGACAACAUUCCGAAAGGGAUGCUAAUACCGCAUAAAAUUAUUUUAUCGCAUGGUAGAAUAAUCAAAGAUUUAUCGCCUAAGGAUGGACUCGCGUCUGAUUAGCUUGUUGGUGGGGUAAAGGCCUACCAAGGCGACGAUCAGUAGCCGAACUGAGAGGUUGAUCGGCCACAUUGGGACUGAGACACGGCCCAAACUCCUACGGGAGGCAGCAG
This 268-nucleotide ribosomal RNA is filed under the name uncultured bacterium. RNAcentral describes it as "partial 16S ribosomal RNA". It matches the Rfam family "Bacterial small subunit ribosomal RNA", at positions 86 to 354 of the family's 1533-position model. The record is from RNAcentral.